GGCUGACGGGUGAGUAACACGUGGAUAACCUACCUAUAAGACUGGGAUAACUUCGGGAAACCGGAGCUAAUACCGGAUAAUAUUUUGAACCGCAUGGUUCAAAAGUAAAAGACGGUCUUGCUGUCACUUAUAGAUGGAUCCGCGCUGCAUUAGCUAGUUGGUAAGGUAACGGCUUACCAAGGCAACGAUGCAUGGCCGACCUGAGAGGGUGAUCGGCCACACUGGAACUGAGACACGGUCCAG
This 243-nucleotide ribosomal RNA is filed under the name uncultured Staphylococcus sp. Its description in RNAcentral is "partial 16S ribosomal RNA". It matches the Rfam family "Bacterial small subunit ribosomal RNA", at positions 97 to 334 of the family's 1533-position model. The record is from RNAcentral. Lineage: Bacteria; Bacillati; Bacillota; Bacilli; Caryophanales; Staphylococcaceae.